ACGCAUUUAUACGCUCACAGACCAGAAUACCAGAGCCAACAUUACAUAGGCUACAUCAGCUGUUCCUAAUUCCAGCCCAUGUUCCGAAUUUAUUUCCAGAGGUAU
Long non-coding RNA from Sinocyclocheilus grahami, 105 nucleotides. RefSeq lists it as uncharacterized. The transcript has 3 exons. The record is from RefSeq and is a predicted model, not a curated record. Lineage: Eukaryota; Metazoa; Chordata; Actinopteri; Cypriniformes; Cyprinidae.